RNAcentral lists this ribosomal RNA (253 nucleotides) under uncultured bacterium. Its description in RNAcentral is "partial 16S ribosomal RNA". It matches the Rfam family "Bacterial small subunit ribosomal RNA", at positions 524 to 776 of the family's 1533-position model. The record is from RNAcentral.
UACGGAGGAUGCAAGCGUUAUCCGGAAUGAUUGGGCGUAAAGCGUCCGCAGGUGGCUGUGUAAGUCUGCCGUUAAAGAGUGAGGCUCAACCUCAUAAAAGCAGUGGAAACUACACGGCUAGAGUGCGUUCGGGGCAGAGGGAAUUCCUGGUGUAGCGGUGAAAUGCGUAGAUAUCAGGAAGAACACCGGUGGCGAAAGCGCUCUGCUAGGCCGCAACUGACACUGAGGGACGAAAGCUAGGGGAGCGAAUGGG